GCAGUCGAACGCUUCUUUCCUCCCGAGUGCUUGCACUCAAUUGGAAAGAGGAGUGGCGGACGGGUGAGUAACACGUGGGUAACCUACCCAUCAGAGGGGGAUAACACUUGGAAACAGGUGCUAAUACCGCAUAACAGUUUAUGCCGCAUGGCAUAAGAGUGAAAGGCGCUUUCGGGUGUCGCUGAUGGAUGGACCCGCGGUGCAUUAGCUAGUUGGUGAGGUAACGGCUCACCAAGGCCACGAUGCAUAGCCGACCUGAGAGGGUGAUCGGCCACACUGGGACUGAGACACGGCCCAGACUCCUACGGGAGGCAGCAGUAGGGAAUCUUCGGCAAUGGACGAAAGUCUGACCGAGCAACGCCGCGUGAGUGAAGAAGGUUUUCGGAUCGUAAAACUCUGUUGUUAGAGAAGAACAAGGACGUUAGUAACUGAACGUCCCCUGACGGUAUCUAACCAGAAAGCCACGGCUAACUACGUGCCAGCAGCCGCGGUAAUACGUAGGUGGCAAGCGUUGUCCGGAUUUAUUGGGCGUAAAGCGAGCGCAGGCGGUUUCUUAAGUCUGAUGUGAAAGCCCCCGGCUCAACCGGGGAGGGUCAUUGGAAACUGGGAGACUUGAGUGCAGAAGAGGAGAGUGGAAUUCCAUGUGUAGCGGUGAAAUGCGUAGAUAUAUGGAGGAACACCAGUGGCGAAGGCGGCUCUCUGGUCUGUAACUGACGCUG
Molecule: ribosomal RNA, 719 nt
Filed under: Enterococcus faecalis
Lineage: Bacteria; Bacillati; Bacillota; Bacilli; Lactobacillales; Enterococcaceae
Description: bacterial SSU rRNA
Rfam family: Bacterial small subunit ribosomal RNA
Source: RNAcentral